UUUCAAGGCAUUGUAGAUGGAACAGCGAGGAAGCUACGAACUUUGCGUGCAGCUACUAUGGAUACAUCCGGGAGGCUAGAGUUGGUGCAGUCCAUCCUAUGCGCGAUGCCCAUUUACACCAUGAUGGUGUUGGAUGUUCCACCUGACAUGCUGGCAAGCAUUACGAAGAUAUGCAGAGGGUUUCUGUGGGUCGCACGGGUGGAGGUGCGGGGCGGACACUGCGUUGCCGCAUGGAAUUCAGUGUGUAUGCCCAAGUGGGUGGGACGGUUGGGCCUCCCAGACCUCAAGUGGAUGAACAUCACCCUAAGGGGGCAAAAUUUUGUGUUUUGA
RNAcentral lists this ribosomal RNA (330 nucleotides) under Triticum aestivum (bread wheat). RNAcentral's name for it is "partial small subunit ribosomal RNA". The record is from RNAcentral. Lineage: Eukaryota; Viridiplantae; Streptophyta; Magnoliopsida; Poales; Poaceae.